CAACAUGAAAAUUGUGCCAGGCAGGGUAUACCAUAUUUUGCUAGAGUAGCGAGGUUGUAACGACGACUAGCUAGGAACCAGUGGUUUGGCAUGCUAGCAUGCUAACCAAACUUAAACUGCUACCUUUGACUUCACUAUAAGUUCAUAACGUUAUCAGCUGGCCAAAUUGAUCAACGAUUAAUUCCUCUUAAUAUCCUAAAUAAACUUCACAUAUGUUUUCAGUCGUUAGAGCCUUGAGACAACCAGUGAAAUAGUUAUUCCUGUAGUAGCUAGCUAUUUAAUAGGAGAUUAACAUGGGAGUUUACAAUAAUUUUGCUAGAAUACCAUUGGGUUGAUUUACUUACUUUAUUUACAUUUUAACGGUUAACAUCCCGGCGCAGAUCAGCCACAUGAAGAAAACAGCCACUUUAGUGUCAAUUAAUCCUUUUCUAAACCUAUUCUGCUGUUUGUUGUUGUUGGUCUCCAUGAUAGCUGUAAAUACCACUGGACCACCGUUAAAAACUGUACCGAUAGCUUUGAGCUUUUUCUAUGGGACACAGACAGUACACAGACACACACAGACACACCACGGGUGCGGGGAUGGCGCUGUUGCCACUCACAGAAUUGAUUUCAGGAAAACAGCUCGUCUUAGUGACUGUAUUUCUGUUUUCAAACCAGUGAAAACGGGAUUAUUGUAAGAUUUUAUUAUUAUUAUUUUUUUUACUUUUUUUUGGUGAAGCAGUGCUUCACCUGUAGUCGUAUAGAAACCGCCACUAAACCGCCUAGUAGGAACUGUGUGUAAUGCUUUUAAUAUCUAUUUCACCACAAUUAUCAGACUGUAAAAUGAUAGGAUUUCAAAAGCAUUUGAAAAAUAACCAAGCUAAUCAUACAGUACUUAUUCUUUCUCCAAGGGGCAUUGCUGAAAUUUCUUCAUCCCGCUCUACCAAGUGUUGUCUCUGGUGCUACUGAAGGGCCAUCAACAUCGUCUUCGUCACAUGUUUAUGAGGAGGAGCAAGUGGAAGACAACAUUGCGGCGUCCACACCACUUCCCAGCAGUGGUUCAACAGAAGCAGUGCCAUCAACUCCAUCACGACUUGAGGAGGAGCAAGUGGAAGCAUCCACACCACUUCCCAGCAGUGGUUCAACAGAAGUGCCAUCAACUCCAUCUCCACUUCAUGAGGAGGACAAAGAGGAAGAUGACAUUGACAUGGCAGAGACCACCCCACCAUCCAGAACUGGGGUACCUGUAGGUAUUGCAAGCACCACAUUAAGUGAUGACCCAGGAUGUUGGCCCAGUGUCCUAACAAGCAGUAUGCGCUGUGAAAUAGUCAAAAAAGGACCUGUGCAAAUCAUGGACAUUGAAUU
Long non-coding RNA from Eleginops maclovinus (Patagonian blennie), 1344 nucleotides. RefSeq lists it as uncharacterized. The record is from RefSeq and is a predicted model, not a curated record. NCBI's taxonomy places the organism in Eukaryota, Metazoa, Chordata, Actinopteri, Perciformes, Eleginopidae. The transcript has 4 exons.